GCCGGGGUUUUCCCCGUGGACCGACCCACGUCUUAACUCCCAGAAUGCCAGGACGUGGUGGCAUCCUGUGGGCCACGAUGGUGACGUGGACCCACCCAACGCAGCCUGCCCAUCAGACUCGGUGGGCGAGUGUCAGAAAGGGGCCAGGAGGCAGGCACCCAGCUCCACUCCUCCCACAUGUCGCCCUCCCCACCCGGUGACCAGGCAGCCAGGCCUAAGCACAAGAUGGACUGGGAACUGGGUUUUUCCAGUUUUAUCAGCUGCCGGGACUCAGGGACCCUGGACUGCAGAUAUCCCCUGAAGUGACAGCACUCCAGCCAGAUGCCCGGCUCUGAGCCCAGGGGAGGGCCAGGCUGGACGGCACAGCUGCCCUGGACCUGGGCCGGGAGGCCAGCGGACGGCUGGGGCUGCCCUGGCAGCGACCCCGCCCCGGCAGGUCCGACACGCCUGGUCUAAGUACCCCAACCCCAAUCUUCCCCACGUCUCUGAGACCUGCUCCAGGUCUCACCUCCCAGAAAGCCCUCAGGGGCUCUGGGGCGCCAGAGCCCUGGGUGCCCCCAAGUCCCACAAAACCGUGGGAACAGGACCCUGGAGAGUGUCAUUCACACGUCCUGGGCCCUCCUCGUCAGGGUGGAGUGGGCACGGUGCCCCAGUACCUGGAGCUGCCCCCGCCCAGACCCAACCAGGGGUGCCCGAGAGGCCCUCCUAGAGCCAUCUGGAGACAGCUGUGACAAAGCCCUGGGGGCUGGUGCGGGGCGUGCGCAGUGUGUGGCCCCUUCUCACCGUCCAGUGCUGGUUUUGCAGAUCAGGAUGCUGGCACCCCCGACCCCGUCAGGCCUGUUUAUUCCUGGGGGUGGGAAGGGGCACAGGGAAGAGGGGACACCCCACUCCCACAUCUCCCUGCCUGGCGGCAGGAGGAGCCACGCCACCCACCCACAGGCACCUGAUGUGUGACAAUCUAGUGGUGGGGAGACAGCCUCGAGUGCAGGGUGGAGGAGACACACACAGGAAGCCCCGUCUGGCCCCCAGACCCAUUGCAGACUCAGGUAGCCCUGAGCGAGGAACAGAGUGGUCGUGAGCCCAAGCAUGAGGGCGUGUGCAAGCAUGUGCGCAGGUGUGCAGGUGUGUGUGCGCGUGCUUGUGUGUGUCCCCAGGAAGGGGGCUCAUGGGCCAUCCCCGGGUCGGGGAUGCGGACUGACCAGGACUUGGUUCCGAGCCUGGGAGAAGGGAAGGAAGGACCAGCCCCCAAACCCUGCAGCCUGGGUCUGAGCCAA
Vicugna pacos (alpaca) is the source of this 1274-nucleotide non-coding RNA. The record is from RefSeq and is a predicted model, not a curated record. Lineage: Eukaryota; Metazoa; Chordata; Mammalia; Artiodactyla; Camelidae.